RNAcentral lists this ribosomal RNA (247 nucleotides) under uncultured bacterium. RNAcentral describes it as "partial 16S ribosomal RNA". It matches the Rfam family "Bacterial small subunit ribosomal RNA", at positions 523 to 769 of the family's 1533-position model. The record is from RNAcentral.
AUACGUAGGUGGCGAGCGUUGUCCGGAAUUACUGGGCGUAAAGGGCGUGUAGGCGGGAAUUUAAGUCAGAUGUGAAAGCCCCGGGCUUAACUUGGGGACUGCAUUUGAUACUGGAUUUCUUGAGGACAGGAGAGGAAAGCGGAAUUCCUAGUGUAGCGGUGAAAUGCGUAGAUAUUAGGAGGAACACCAGUGGCGAAGGCGGCUUUCUGGACUGUAACUGACACUGAGGCACGAAAGCGUGGGGAGC